CUCUCUGUAGCUCAGUUGGUAGAGCGGUGGACUGUAGAUCCAUCGGUCACUGGUUCGAUUCCGGUCGGAGAGA
RNAcentral lists this transfer RNA (73 nucleotides) under Cylindrotheca closterium. It matches the Rfam family "tRNA". From Rfam's summary of the family: Transfer RNA (tRNA) molecules are approximately 80 nucleotides in length. Their secondary structure includes four short double-helical elements and three loops (D, anti-codon, and T loops). Lineage: Eukaryota; Bacillariophyta; Bacillariophyceae; Bacillariales; Bacillariaceae. The record is from RNAcentral.